GGGACCGUGGUGUAGAGGUAAGCGUGGUUGCCUUUCAUCCAGUCGGCUUGGGUUCGAUCCCAGACGGUCCCG
Transfer RNA from Culex pipiens (northern house mosquito), 72 nucleotides. It matches the Rfam family "tRNA". From Rfam's summary of the family: Transfer RNA (tRNA) molecules are approximately 80 nucleotides in length. Their secondary structure includes four short double-helical elements and three loops (D, anti-codon, and T loops). The record is from Rfam. NCBI's taxonomy places the organism in Eukaryota, Metazoa, Arthropoda, Insecta, Diptera, Culicidae.